Molecule: long non-coding RNA, 1465 nt
Organism: Triticum aestivum (bread wheat)
Lineage: Eukaryota; Viridiplantae; Streptophyta; Magnoliopsida; Poales; Poaceae
Exons: 2
Source: RefSeq, a predicted model, not a curated record
CCUACCGAUCUAGGGUUAGCGCGGUGCUCACGGAAAGCUCCACCACCUCGCCCACUCUCCGCCAUCGCCGUGCGCCCCAGCACCACGAUGGCCUCCAGCUCGAGUUCAUCUGCUGCUGGACAAGGUAGGUUCACCGGAUCUAUUAGCCUACUCCGAUCCAAAGUUCUAUCACCGGAAGCUCGAUUCUUGAUCCGUCCAUGGUGUUCAGGAGAUACGUCCCUGCAUCGUCCGACGAGGAAUCGGAGGAGCUCAGGACCAGGACCCAGCCCUGCGGUGUCGCCAACCAUACCUUCUUCUUGCUCGACACCAACGGUGUGACAUCUUGAAGCUUCUGGUCAGGCAAACUGAAGAGCUUGUACGGCGAACGAUCUGGACCUGGCGGCGGCGCAAGCACCAACAGCGGGUAAGCCACGGACACGUUCGACUCCUCGGCCAAAUCCACCGCUGACAACAGGGGCGUACACAAGUCCAAGUCAGCCAUGGGCCAUGGCCAGGGUCGUAAGGCUAGAUCGCGUCGUUUACUGUAGCUACGCUCUGGUUGGCGAUGACAAAGGCACAAGGCUCUGCAUUCUGCAACCACGGAUCUGGUGAGAACAGGGCGUCGCGUGGCACACAUAUAUAGGGGGUUGGCUUCCCCGAUUCCUGAUUGAAAAGAGACGGCUAUGUCGAAACCGGAAUUAUCUGCUCGGACUCCGGCAGCUAUGGGAAACACUUACAUUCAGUAGUCUGAUAGGAGAACUUUUUCAGACGGAUCUUGUGCCAUUGAUGCUUUUAAUCCCACGGCCCAUAUUUCUAAGCUAACUGCCCAAAUUAAUUUGAUCCGAGAAAAUCUCGCCUGCCCCGUCCAGUACCUCAUUACUCCACGUCCGAGCUAAUCUCGCUUGCGAGACCCAACCAUCCAACCCGUCUCACAUCCCUCGGGCGAGCGCAGCCCCAAGGUCGCCGACCUCCUUCGUCACGCCGGCUAUCUCCACCACCACCCCGCUCCGCCCCAAAACUCGGGAACGUCUACAACUCCUCCAGGUGACCGGUGCAAAGACCCAUCCUCGCCUGCUUCGCUGAAUCCUACUCUCACCGCCAACGGCGUCACACCCAUCGCCGGCCUUGUUCCCCGCCAGACCCUGCCUCAUCACCAUUCAUCCCACCGCGCUGGUGCGUCGUUUCGGCUCGGAAGAGGCUACACGCGUAUGCCAGCCGUCGUCCCCCAGGCUCGGUGUCAACUCCCGAUGGUCCGGUGAAUGGUUAAUAGACAGGAUUGAUCCGGAUAUGCUUCUUAAUUGUAAUGUACAUGCUUAUGUGAAGUACAAAGCAGAGAACUUGCUUCAUUGGGCAAAGAAAACAUGGUGAAUUGUGAAUGGGUGUGACACAAGACAUGUGUCUCCAUGUUGGACGCAAUCUUAAUUUGUUUCCAUUUUCAAUGUUCCAAGAUUCCACUUUGAUACCGACAAAAAACUAUUUUAGAGCA